This 484-nucleotide ribosomal RNA is filed under the name uncultured bacterium. Its description in RNAcentral is "partial 16S ribosomal RNA". It matches the Rfam family "Bacterial small subunit ribosomal RNA", at positions 30 to 507 of the family's 1533-position model. The record is from RNAcentral.
AUUGAACGCUGGCGGCAGGCCUAACACAUGCAAGUCGAGCGGACGAAGGGAGCUUGCUCCUGGAUUCAGUGGCGGACGGGUGGGUAAUGCCUAGGAAUCUGCCUGGUCGUGGGGGAUAACGUCCGGAAACGGGAGCUAAUAUCGCAUCCGUUCAGAGGUUGAACGUGGGGGAUCUUCGGAGCUCACGCUAUCAGCUGAGCCUAGGUCGGAUUAGCUAGUUGGUGGGGUAAAGGCCUACCAAGGCGACGAUCCGUAACUGGUCUGAGAGGGUGAUCAGUCACACUGGAACUGAGACACGGUCCAGACUCCUACGGGAGGCAGCAGUGGGGAAUAUUGGGCAAUGGGCGAAAGCCUGAUGCAGCAACGCCGCGUGUGUGAAGAAGGUCUUCGGAUCGUAAAGCUCUGUUAUUAGGGAGGAAGAGCAGUAAGUUAAUACCUGGCCGUUUUGACGGUACCUAAAGAAAAAGCACCGGCUAACUUCGUG